This 624-nucleotide ribosomal RNA is filed under the name uncultured bacterium. RNAcentral's name for it is "bacterial SSU rRNA". It matches the Rfam family "Bacterial small subunit ribosomal RNA", at positions 167 to 789 of the family's 1533-position model. The record is from RNAcentral.
UACCCAAUGAUAUCUCUAGAAGACAUCUGAAAGAGAUUAAAGAUUUAUCGGUGAUGGAUGGGGAUGCGUCUGAUUAGCUUGUUGGCGGGGUAACGGCCCACCAAGGCAACGAUCAGUAGGGGUUCUGAGAGGAAGGUCCCCCACAUUGGAACUGAGACACGGUCCAAACUCCUACGGGAGGCAGCAGUGGGGAAUAUUGGUCAAUGGACGAGAGUCUGAACCAGCCAAGUAGCGUGCAGGAUGACGGCCCUAUGGGUUGUAAACUGCUUUUAUAAGGGAAUAAAGUGAGUCUCGUGAGAUUUUUUGCAUGUACCUUAUGAAUAAGGACCGGCUAAUUCCGUGCCAGCAGCCGCGGUAAUACGGAAGGUCCGGGCGUUAUCCGGAUUUAUUGGGUUUAAAGGGAGCGUAGGCCGGAGAUUAAGCGUGUUGUGAAAUGUAGAUGCUCAACAUCUGCACUGCAGCGCGAACUGGUUUCCUUGAGUACGCACAAAGUGGGCGGAAUUCGUGGUGUAGCGGUGAAAUGCUUAGAUAUCACGAAGAACUCCGAUUGCGAAGGCAGCUCACUGGAGCGCAACUGACGCUGAAGCUCGAAAGUGCGGGUAUCGAACAGGAUUAGAUACCCUG